AGCGAACGCUGGCGGCAGGCCUAACACAUGCAAGUCGAACGAACUCUUCGGAGUUAGUGGCGGACGGGUGAGUAACACGUGGGAACGUGCCUUUUGGUUCGGAAUAACUCAGGGAAACUUGUGCUAAUACCGAAUGUGCCCUUCGGGGGAAAGAUUUAUCGCCAUUAGAGCGGCCCGCGUCUGAUUAGCUAGUUGGUGAGAUAACGGCUCACCAAGGCGACGAUCAGUAGCUGGUCUGAGAGGAUGACCAGCCACACUGGGACUGAGACACGGCCCAGACUCCUACGGGAGGCAGCAGUGGGGAAUCUUGCGCAAUGGGCGAAAGCCUGACGCAGCCAUGCCGCGUGAAUGGUGAAGGUCUUAGGAUUGUAAAAUUCUUUCACCGGGGACGAUAAUGACGGUACCCGGAGAAGAAGCCCCGGCUAACUUCGCG
RNAcentral lists this ribosomal RNA (433 nucleotides) under uncultured bacterium. RNAcentral describes it as "partial 16S ribosomal RNA". It matches the Rfam family "Bacterial small subunit ribosomal RNA", at positions 29 to 507 of the family's 1533-position model. The record is from RNAcentral.